GGAGAGAUUAUAUAAGCGCGGAAGCUGCGGCCUCUGGUUUCAUUCCGAUUGACCUUGUUGGAGUGAAAAGCUGCUGCUCACGCACACGCACAUAUCCGCAACAUGUCUGCUGCUCUGGCUCGUCUCAUCCGGCUCCCAAACCUGCUGCAGGCGCCUGUGAGGAGAGGGAUUGCCACAAAGCCCGCCAAGAGCCCAGUGUCUGCCGGGGAAGCCGUGAUUGGGUUUUCCACCUUCUUGGUCUGCGCUCUGGUACCAGCUGGAUGGGUUCUUUCCAAUAUGGAGGCAUAUAAGAAGAGAGACUAAAAAUGAAAGAAGUCAUCUGCCUCUGCAACAUUCCUCCUUCUCCAUAAGACUGACACAUGCAACUGUGCUGGUCCAUAAAGGAAAUGCUUGCCCCUUUUUCGUUAGAUUUCUCCAGCAGCCUGUUACAUUAAACUGUUUACUUCAAUGUA
Long non-coding RNA from Xenopus tropicalis (tropical clawed frog), 452 nucleotides. RefSeq lists it as uncharacterized. Lineage: Eukaryota; Metazoa; Chordata; Amphibia; Anura; Pipidae. The record is from RefSeq and is a predicted model, not a curated record. The transcript has 2 exons.